Molecule: long non-coding RNA, 1608 nt
Organism: Astatotilapia calliptera (eastern happy)
Lineage: Eukaryota; Metazoa; Chordata; Actinopteri; Cichliformes; Cichlidae
Source: Ensembl
GUUCACGGAUGGUGCUAAAAGUCCAGUUACUGGAAGUACAGGGUUUGGAAUAGCAGUUCCGUCAAAAAAUAUUGGAAUAAACAGACGCACUUCGGAUGGACUGGCAGUGUACACGGUUGAAAUGGUAGCAAUUUUGGUGGCAUUGAAGUGGGUAGAGUGUUCAAAAAUCAGGCAGGUGGUAGUAUGUUCUGACUCGGCAGCUGUUCUUUCAAGUCUACAAUCAUUUUGUUCGAAGACAAGGCAGGGCAUGCUGUGCACUAUUCUGGAGACUAUAAGCAGGAUAAGGUGUUGUGGUGGCAAUAUUCACUUUCUUUGGGUGUCAGCUCAUGUGGGGAUCAGUGGAAAUGAAAAGGUGGAUAGGUUGGCAAAAAGAGCGUUGACUAAAAAUAGGACUGAGAUGGCGAUUACAAGCAGUGGAUCUGAAGCAAAAGGUAUUGUUUGGAGGCUGGUUGUUCAGGAGUGGCAGAAGCGGUGGGAUUCAGGGAGUAAGGGCAGGCAAUUGUAUCAUCUUAAGAAGGAGGUGGCAGAGAGUAGGUUGUAUAGGGGUAGUAGGAGAGAUGAGGUGGUCAUUACCAGGCUUAGACUGGGACAUUGUGCAUUAAAUAAAACACUACAGAUGAUAGGAGAACAUGAGACGGGGCUUUGUGGAGUGUGCCAGGAGGAGGAGGAGGAGACAGUAGAGCAUGUAAUACUGCGGUGCAAGGGUUAUGAUGUGGAGAGGUCAGUUCUGCAGAAUAGAUUGAAGGAGCGGGGUGUUGGGGUCUUUAAUCUGAAGAGUGUGUUGGAGGGUAGUAGGGCACAGGUGAGGGAACUGGUGGGGUUUCUGAAGGCUAUAGGUGUUUAUGAAAGAGUGUAGGGUUUUUUUUAUUUUUUAUUUAUUUUUUAUUUUUUGUUGUUGUUUUGUUUUGUUUUUGAUACAGCUUGUAAACUCACUGUCUGACCCAUACUGUCACGGUCCUGGGUCAGUGACCCAGUGUUUUGAGUUUCUUGUGCCUCUGAGUUUUCUGUAUUAUGUUCUUAGUUCUCGUUGUUGUCCUAGCUUGUUCUUUAGUGUAGUGUCUUAGUUUGGUGUUCUUGUAUUCUGUUUAGUUCUCUGAGUAUUUGGUAGCUGCCCUCUGUGUUUCUUAGUUGCUGUCUCCCCUAGUCUAGUUUGCAUCUUUGCUAAUUCCUGUUUUACUUUGAAGUUCUGUGUCUCAUGUGAGUGUAUCCUACUUUGCUCCCUUGUCUCGUCAGUUCUGAUUUCUCCCAGCUGUGCUCUCCUUCUGUGUCUCAUUCCCCUCGUUACUUCCCAUUGUAUUUAAACCCUGUGUUUCUCUGAGUCAGUGUCGCGUCGUCCCUCAUGCUGUGUGUGAUUCUCCCCGUGUCUUCUGGUAUGUGUUAUAAUUAGCGUUUCCCAGUGUAGUUUUGUAUUGCUUGUGUUCUAUUUUCCAGCAAUAAAGCUGUGCUUUUGAGUUCAAGUUCUGUCCCCGUGAGUUUGCGUUUGGGUCCAAUCCCUGCCUGCCACACAGCGUUUCAUGACACAUACUCCGGAACGGUAGGAGGCGGUAAUGCUCCUUUACGUUGGUUGCCAACCGCCGUUAAACACAAAGAAGAAGAAGAAGAAGAAGA